UACGUAGGUGGCAAGCGUUGUCCGGAUUUACGGGGCGUAAAGAGCGCGCAGGCGGCUGGGCAAGUCCGAUGUGAAAGCUUCCGGCUUAACUGGAAAAUUGCAUUGGAAACUGCUCGGCUUGAAGGUGGGAGAGGGUAGCGGAAUUCCCGGUGUAGUGGUGAAAUGCGUAGAUAUCGGGAGGAACACCAGUGGCGAAGGCGGCUACCUGGCCCAUUCUUGACGCUGAGGCGCGAAAGCUAGGGGAGCAAACGGG
RNAcentral lists this ribosomal RNA (253 nucleotides) under uncultured bacterium. Its description in RNAcentral is "partial 16S ribosomal RNA". It matches the Rfam family "Bacterial small subunit ribosomal RNA", at positions 524 to 776 of the family's 1533-position model. The record is from RNAcentral.